RNAcentral lists this long non-coding RNA (307 nucleotides) under Mytilus galloprovincialis (Mediterranean mussel). Lineage: Eukaryota; Metazoa; Mollusca; Bivalvia; Mytilida; Mytilidae. The record is from RNAcentral.
AAAAUAUCUCCUGAUUCUGUUCAUAUGCGUGAUGCCUUUUAUCAUGCCCAAAUAAACCCACAAUUGACGUUUUUAAGACUCUUGUGAACCUAUUUAUGGCCAAAAGAAAAUAUGUUAAUUUUAUUGAAAAGUCCAGAGAACUCCGAAAGAAAUGUUGACCAAUAUAAAAAAAAUUAUAGAUGAAUGAUAAGUACACCACCGAAAUGGAUAAACUUGAAUUUAGUGCUCCUUUAAAGGAGGAACUUACACUAAAACAAAAAAAAUCAAAAAUCUUUCCUUUACACAUGACCGACAUUUCGUCUGCAAC